Sphaeramia orbicularis (orbiculate cardinalfish) is the source of this 133-nucleotide long non-coding RNA. RefSeq lists it as uncharacterized. The record is from RefSeq and is a predicted model, not a curated record. The transcript is spliced from 4 exons. Lineage: Eukaryota; Metazoa; Chordata; Actinopteri; Kurtiformes; Apogonidae.
UACUAAUUUUAAGGAUAACUUUACAAGUCAAGAAAGUUCCAGUUUGUGGUAAAACUGUUGAAGUAUCAGACUGUGAAAAUACAUAAAUCUAAAGACUACACACCAGGAAGUUAUGGAGGAGAUUUCAUAGUAA